GAACUAAAGAAACCAUCUUCUUCACAGUUUAGAGGUAAACAACCUCAUGCGCCUAUGCAGGGGGAAAAAAAAGGUGCAAACAGGGCAGAAGAAGGCUUCUAGGGAAACAGCACGUCUGGCAUGAACUGCACGUACACAUUUGCGAUCUGUGCAUGAACAAGAGGCCCCCAGAUGCCCCCAGCCCGUUUCUGGAAGGCUCCGAGAGGGCGGACUGCGCACGACAGCUAAUCUGCAUGGGAAGCGAGGAAGCACCUCCCAGAGGCGGGGCAGGAACCUAUAAAAACUGCAAACUGUGUGAAUAAAGGGAAAGAAGGAGCCCCGCCGAGCGGCUGCCUGUGUGCCACACUCCGCGGUCGUCGCGGCCGGGCCAUGGCCGCCGCCGGGGGGGGCUUGCAACAACUGAGGAUCUCAAACAGAGUCAGCGGAACAUCAUCGGACUCAGAGUGGCGCUCUCUGGGAAUACUUGUGAAACUCAGCUUCUGCAAAGGAUUUGUGUCAUAAUAUCUCAGCUGGAGAUAUUCCUGAGGAGGUCCUAAGCCAUUAACCAGGAUUUCCCUGGGUCAGGUCCUGUACAAACAUGGAGCAAGGAAGUGGUUGGUGUCCAACAGAGUUUGCAAGUGUAAGACAAGAGAUGAACUGAAACGGAGAAGGGUAAGAAAGCCGUCUAUCUUCAUCCAUACAGUGACCAGAGGAAGAUGAAGAAGGCCCAUUUCAGGAAAGAUGAGAUCUAGUCCUAAAGCUUCUGUAUUUUAAAUUGAUGCUACAGAAACCAAGGCCCACAAGGUGGGAUACAUAUCAUGGCUUUAAGUUAACAAGUGCCACUGAAGACGAAUGCAGCUGCCCUAUGGAGUGAGUGCAGAGCACCCUGUGUGCAGCCAGAAAGGUGGAGAGGUCCUGAAUCUGCGCUCUGCCUGUCUGCGGACGGAGAGAUGGUUGAAUGAGGGACUGUAUGUGGUGAUUGUUCUGGGGGUCACACCCCACCCUGUUCCCACAAAUAUUUAUCACUACCUUUCUCUACUUGUGACAGCAUCAGAAGGGGGCAGUCACCAUUUAGCCACCCUCCCACCCAGCAUAGGGCUGCGGAGAAGCUGAGCAAUCCCUCACACACCCAUGUCUGGGGAAGAUGUGGUCUGUGGAGCAUGAGUGCCAAUGCCUGGCACUCUGGAGAGGAUAAGCACUGCCUGGAUUUUCGGUGUAACUGCUCCUCUGAUGAGAGUCACUACUGUGUCUCAAGUGCAUCUUCUGCAGGAGUCUUCAGCUGCAGAGCAACUACCUAUGCAUCCUCUGUUUUUCAUAAAAGGGAGUUGUGACAGUGAUGAUGAACAGCUGAGGCAUUUUGCAGAAACAAGAAAACAGUGCACAGAGAAGUGGUAAUGGCCCUAGAGCAUUUUGCAGGCCUAAGGUUGCAUCAAAAAUUUAGAUCAUGCUAAAAGAAAAGCUCCUCAUACAAGAUGGAAGGAAGGGCUUAUAGACUUUCAGUAAAGAUAUGAAUCAGGCUAUAGAUGAUCUAGGAAGUUAUAUAUGCUGGUAAUAUAACCAACUAACUAUAGACUUGUAAAUUGAAAAUAUUUUAAAUGAAAGUUUCACAUAUGAAUAACUGAACUGAGUACAAUUAUCGAGAAUAUAAAUAUUUGUAUAUAAAUAUCCUCACGCUUGUAUUUAUUGGAAUAUCAUUAAAUCAAUAUUCUUUUUUUCACAAGAUUCAGCAGCUGAAAUUUUGCCUAGUUACAUUUUAUUGGUAUUUUCCACAUAUUCAUGGAGGAGAAGCUCACAAAUCAAUGACCUAAAGCCAGACAAGAGGCAGAGAACAACAGAGCAGAAGCUGGGGUUUUAAAAGGAUAGGUUGCAUUGAUGUUUCUGUCAUUUCCUUUGGUUCAUCACUUUUAUCCAUAAUCAAGUAAAAUUGGCUUUUGGUCUUAAUUCAAACUUAAAAGGAGCAUCAGGGGCAACUAAACACAUGGAUGCAUAUUUGAGAAAGCAUAUAAUCUGUGUAGACAGUGUGGUGAUUUUUAUAUAAUUAAAAUAAAAAGCUUUCUGACACUGUGA
Molecule: long non-coding RNA, 2046 nt
Organism: Dromaius novaehollandiae (emu)
Lineage: Eukaryota; Metazoa; Chordata; Aves; Casuariiformes; Dromaiidae
Exons: 5
Source: RefSeq, a predicted model, not a curated record